Molecule: ribosomal RNA, 495 nt
Filed under: uncultured bacterium
Lineage: Bacteria
Description: partial 16S ribosomal RNA
Rfam family: Bacterial small subunit ribosomal RNA
Source: RNAcentral
GACGAACGCUGGCGGCGUGCCUAAUACAUGCAAGUAGAACGCUGAAGGAGGAGCUUGCUUCUCUGGAUGAGUUGCGAACGGGUGAGUAACGCGUAGGUAACCUGCCUGGUAGCGGGGGAUAACUAUUGGAAACGAUAGCUAAUACCGCAUAAUAGCAGUUGUUGCAUGACAACUGUUUGAAAGGUGCAAUUGCACCACUACCAGAUGGACCUGCGUUGUAUUAGCUAGUUGGUGGGGUAACGGCUCACCAAGGCGACGAUACAUAGCCGACCUGAGAGGGUGAUCGGCCACACUGGGACUGAGACACGGCCCAGACUCCUACGGGAGGCAGCAGUAGGGAAUCUUCGGCAAUGGACGGAAGUCAGACCGAGCAACGCCGCGUGAGUGAAGAAGGUUUUCGGAUCGUAAAGCUCUGUUGUAAGAGAAGAACGAGUGUGAGAGUGGAAAGUUCACACUGUGACGGUAUCUUACCAGAAAGGGACGGCUAACUACGUG